AAUUAUUUAUAAUAUUAUUCAGAGCAGUAUAAUCAUAUUAUUAUUAUAUCUACAAGUCUUUAUUAAUAUAAUAAGCAAAAUAAAAUUCAUGUAUACAAAUGUAGUUUAAGGUAAAGUAACAGCCAAUUGUAGGAUCGGGUUGUUAGCUCCGCCCCUUCCAGCUUGCCGGCAGAGAGAGACACAGAGCAGAGACGAGACCGGUUAUCUGAGCAAUAGAGAGGAGUAAACUUGAACAAAAAGGAUAGAAUACGGCCAGGUUUUUUUCUGAGGAGAUUUUCCCGGUUUCCCUGGAUUCUUUGUAUUGAUGGCGAGCCUCCCACGUCGACCUGGAAAGUCGUGAAGUACCCAAAUUUUCAGUUUAUCCUCCUUUCACCGGAUAAAGUAAGAAUAUACCAAAAAGUUAUUUCCUUUAAUGGACUGGGAUUCCGAACACAGCUGUAAGGACUGAUUUUCUUGACAGAAAAAACAGAACUUGAACUUAAUUGAACUGAGUUCACUGAUUUCAGUGUGAACAACCAUACUGAUUUAUUUGUGUUAUUUUUAUGGUUUCUUUUGGUUUUACUUGAACUCAUUUAUUGUGAUUUUGUUUUUUGAUUUAUGACAAUUGUAAAGUGGGUGCACCCUGGGGACCAUGUGUAAAUAGUUUUGUAUUUCUAAGGUAAUUAUUGUUUUCUGAGAAAAAUAUAAGGAAAGAGAAAAAACAUACAAUCCAAAGUAAAAGUAUUUUUAUAUUUAAAA
Molecule: long non-coding RNA, 738 nt
Organism: Danio aesculapii
Lineage: Eukaryota; Metazoa; Chordata; Actinopteri; Cypriniformes; Danionidae
Exons: 2
Source: RefSeq, a predicted model, not a curated record